This 253-nucleotide ribosomal RNA is filed under the name uncultured bacterium. Its description in RNAcentral is "partial 16S ribosomal RNA". It matches the Rfam family "Bacterial small subunit ribosomal RNA", at positions 524 to 776 of the family's 1533-position model. The record is from RNAcentral.
UACGAAGGGGGCAAGCGUUGUUCGGAAUUACUGGGCGUAAAGGGCGCGUAGGCGGCUUAUCAAGUCAGGCGUGAAAUUCCCGGGCUCAACCUGGGGGCUGCGCUUGAUACUGAUUGGCUUGAAUGCGGGAGAGGAUAGUGGAAUUCCCAGUGUAGAGGUGAAAUUCGUAGAUAUUGGGAAGAACACCGGUGGCGAAGGCGGCGCUCUGGACCGAGACUGACGCUGAGGCGCGAAAGCGUGGGGAGCAAACAGG